CGCCUCCGCUUCGGUCUCGUGGCUUCUGGAGUCUUCUAGAUGUAAGAUAAUUGCGCAGCACGUUAAUAUCUUUACGUAAUCCCGACAUGUGGGCCUUUCUUCCAUAUUUCCUGAUAACUCCCUGCAGAAAUAGAUAAACACCAAAACUCGUGGAAUUCUGUCAGAUAAAACCCUAAGUCUGGAUCUUGUUUUCAUUUGGAUCCUUUUCUUUAUUUAUUUGAUAAUUAAAUUUGAUACUUAAGGACCGUCAACAAGCACCCUGAUAGCAAUUAGGAUGUCCUCCAUCUGCUAGCCUUCUUUGAUCCUUGAAUUCUGUGGAGCUCAAAUAGACAACAAA
This 337-nucleotide long non-coding RNA is filed under the name Sorghum bicolor (sorghum). Its description in RNAcentral is "long non-coding RNA (SBIC_LNC000324)". Lineage: Eukaryota; Viridiplantae; Streptophyta; Magnoliopsida; Poales; Poaceae. The record is from RNAcentral.